RNAcentral lists this ribosomal RNA (253 nucleotides) under uncultured bacterium. RNAcentral describes it as "partial 16S ribosomal RNA". It matches the Rfam family "Bacterial small subunit ribosomal RNA", at positions 524 to 776 of the family's 1533-position model. The record is from RNAcentral.
UACGGAGGGUGCAAGCGUUGUCCGGAAUCACUGGGCGUAAAGGGCGCGUAGGCGGCUCAUGAAGGCUGUGGUGAAAGUCCGGGGCUCAACCUCGGAUCGGCCGUGGCGACUCGUGGGCUGGAGCACUGUAGAGGCGGGUGGAAUUCCGGGUGGAGCGGUGGAAUGCGUAGAGAUCAGGAGGAACACCGGUGGCGAAGGCGGGUCUCUGGGCCGUUACUGACGCUGAGGAGCGAAAGCGUGGGGAGCGAACAGG